This is a long non-coding RNA of Cygnus olor (mute swan), 662 nucleotides long. RefSeq lists it as uncharacterized. The record is from RefSeq and is a predicted model, not a curated record. The transcript is spliced from 4 exons. NCBI's taxonomy places the organism in Eukaryota, Metazoa, Chordata, Aves, Anseriformes, Anatidae.
UCCUCUUAUUUGUGGAAUCCGACAGUGUGCAACUUGGUGCAGCUCUAGCUGGAAGUGGUUGGAGAUACACUGGCCUGAUUGUCAAAGACUUCUCUGAGUUCAAGAGUGUGGAGAGGAAGAAAAAAAAAGAAGCACCAGAUUGAACCUGGAUGAAGACUGCCAGAUUGAGCAGUGGAGCAUGGCCUUCAGGCUGGGGUAGUGUGGUUUUAGAUGGGGAGGACAAAGCCUGGGAGAGUGGAAUAGUUUGGUGUUGUUGGGAAAUAAUCAAAACCCGAAUCCUCUCCAGUGAACACACCAAAUUGUGAAUCAGCAAUGCUGCCAUGGUACCUUGUAAGAAUUGUGACAGCCAUGCCACGUGUGUCUGCAUCUGCUGUGAGUGGGGUUUCCUGCAGAACAGGGCUCUAGGUGAGGAAAGAGGACUCAGCAGCAGUUGCCCACGCUGCACUGUGAAAGAGGCCCUUUGGCCAAGCAGUCUGUUGCAUAAGGUGGGUGGAAACUUGAGGCAGCUGAACCACGUCUCCCAUGAGAUACUACAACAGCAUCUCCAAAACCAAAUAUUAUGCUUUCUGACCAAAACCUUUUCAGUUUCAAAACCUCUUUUCAGAUUUAGGUCUGUUCCUCUUCAGCUCUAAGUAUUGAAAUUUUCUAUGGAAAACAAAUAC